This 330-nucleotide ribosomal RNA is filed under the name uncultured Glomeromycotina. RNAcentral's name for it is "LSU rRNA". The record is from RNAcentral. Lineage: Eukaryota; Fungi; Glomeromycota.
CAGUCGUAUCUAUGGGUAAUCAGCCUUUUGGGUGUGAUUUUGUGGAGUGUGAGGAGUUAAACGCCUUCAUGCCUGCAUAUUCGUGCACUUUGGGUGUACUUGCCCGUAUGGUUGGUUAACAUCAAUUUCGGGCACCAUAAAAUGGCUGGAGGAAUGUAGCUUCGAUCUUGUAUUGAAGUGUUAUAGCCUUCGGUAGAUGUGGUGAUCGAGAUUGAGGAUUGCAACGGAUACCUUUCGGGGCUACCUGUCUGAUCUCUGAUCGUUGCUCUGGUGCCGAAAGCUUGCUUACGGUUAUCAAAGUCGAUGGUCAAUAGGUUAGAACGGGUUAAA